CCUCUCGUAGCUUAGUGAUAAAAGCACCGAUGCGUGAAGUCAGAGACCUGGGUUCGAUUCCCGGCAAGGGCG
This 72-nucleotide transfer RNA is filed under the name Agrilus planipennis (emerald ash borer). It matches the Rfam family "tRNA". From Rfam's summary of the family: Transfer RNA (tRNA) molecules are approximately 80 nucleotides in length. Their secondary structure includes four short double-helical elements and three loops (D, anti-codon, and T loops). Further hydrogen bonds mediate the characteristic L-shaped molecular structure. tRNAs have two regions of fundamental functional importance: the anti-codon, which is responsible for specific mRNA codon recognition, and the 3' end, to which the tRNAs corresponding amino acid is attached (by aminoacyl-tRNA synthetases). tRNAs cope with the degeneracy of the genetic code in two manners: having more than one tRNA (with a specific anti-codon) for a particular amino acid; and 'wobble' base-pairing, i.e. permitting non-standard base-pairing at the 3rd anti-codon position. The record is from Rfam by way of RNAcentral. Lineage: Eukaryota; Metazoa; Arthropoda; Insecta; Coleoptera; Buprestidae.